Non-coding RNA from Podarcis lilfordi (Lilford's wall lizard), 85 nucleotides. NCBI's taxonomy places the organism in Eukaryota, Metazoa, Chordata, Lepidosauria, Squamata, Lacertidae. The record is from the annotation of a GenBank genome assembly.
GCUGGGAUAGCUCAGUUGGUAGAGCACGAGACUCUUAUUCUCCAGGUAGUGGGUUUGAACCCCACAUGGGCCCAAAGAUUCCUGC